RNAcentral lists this ribosomal RNA (670 nucleotides) under Cortinarius davemallochii. RNAcentral describes it as "eukaryotic LSU rRNA". It matches the Rfam family "Eukaryotic large subunit ribosomal RNA", at positions 1 to 653 of the family's 3401-position model. Lineage: Eukaryota; Fungi; Basidiomycota; Agaricomycetes; Agaricales; Cortinariaceae. The record is from RNAcentral.
GUGACCUCAAAUCAGGUAGGACUACCCGCUGAACUUAAGCAUAUCAAUAAGCGGAGGAAAAGAAACUAACAAGGAUUCCCCUAGUAACUGCGAGUGAAGCGGGAAAAGCUCAAAUUUAAAAUCUGGCAGUCUUUGGCUGUCCGAGUUGUAAUCUAGAGAAGUGUUAUCCGCGCUGGACCGUGUACAAGUCUCCUGGAAUGGAGCGUCAUAGAGGGUGAGAAUCCCGUCUUUGACACGGACUACCAGGGCUUUGUGAUGCGCUCUCAAAGAGUCGAGUUGUUUGGGAAUGCAGCUCAAAAUGGGUGGUAAAUUCCAUCUAAAGCUAAAUAUUGGCGAGAGACCGAUAGCGAACAAGUACCGUGAGGGAAAGAUGAAAAGAACUUUGGAAAGAGAGUUAAACAGUACGUGAAAUUGCUGAAAGGGAAACGCUUGAAGUCAGUCGCGUUGUCCAGGGAUCAACCUUGCUUUUGCUUGGUGCACUUUCUGGUUGACGGGUCAGCAUCAAUUUUGACCAUUGGAAAAAGAUCAAGGGAAUGUGACAUCCUUGGAUGUGUUAUAGCCCUUGGUUGCAUACAGUGGUUGGGAUUGAGGAACUCAGCACGCCGCAAGGCCGGGUUUUUAACCACGUACGUGCUUAGGAUGCUGGCAUAAUGGCUUUAAUCGACCCGUC